GGCUCAGAUUGAACGCUGGCGGCAUGCCUUACACAUGCAAGUCGAACGGCAGCACGGACUUCGGUCUGGUGGCGAGUGGCGAACGGGUGAGUAAUGUAUCGGAACGUACCUUUCAGUGGGGGAUAACGUAGCGAAAGUUACGCUAAUACCGCAUAUUCUGUGAGCAGGAAAGCAGGGGAUCGCAAGACCUUGCGCUGAUUGAGCGGCCGAUAUCAGAUUAGCUAGUUGGUGAGGUAAAGGCUCACCAAGGCGACGAUCUGUAGCGGGUCUGAGAGGAUGAUCCGCCACACUGGAACUGAGACACGGUCCAGACUCCUACGGGAGGCAGCAGUGGGGAAUUUUGGACAAUGGGGGCAACCCUGAUCCAGCCAUGCCGCGUGAGUGAAGAAGGCCUUCGGGUUGUAAAGCUCUUUCGGCCGGGAAGAAAUCGCAUGGGCUAAUACCCUGUGCGGAUGACGGUACCGGCAUAAGAAGCACCGGCUAACUACGUG
This 491-nucleotide ribosomal RNA is filed under the name uncultured bacterium. RNAcentral's name for it is "bacterial SSU rRNA". It matches the Rfam family "Bacterial small subunit ribosomal RNA", at positions 21 to 507 of the family's 1533-position model. The record is from RNAcentral.